CCAAACCCUCGCGGGGGAAGGAUGAGAAGCUUCGGCGAACGUAAGUGAGCAGAAGGUUCGACCAAUUCGCCAGGAGCGAAUUGGCACGUCACACGAAGUGUGACAGCCCGGAGGGCGAAGGUCAGGAUGACCUGAGUAAUCCUUCCCCCUCCACCA
RNAcentral lists this small RNA (156 nucleotides) under Permianibacter aggregans. RNAcentral describes it as "RtT sRNA". It matches the Rfam family "RtT RNA". From Rfam's summary of the family: This family represents a bacterial cis-regulatory element known as RtT RNA. The exact function of RtT is unknown although it is thought that it may be involved in changing the cellular response in relation to amino acid starvation. Lineage: Bacteria; Pseudomonadati; Pseudomonadota; Gammaproteobacteria; Pseudomonadales; Pseudomonadaceae. The record is from RNAcentral.